Molecule: ribosomal RNA, 712 nt
Filed under: Buttiauxella sp.
Lineage: Bacteria; Pseudomonadati; Pseudomonadota; Gammaproteobacteria; Enterobacterales; Enterobacteriaceae
Description: bacterial SSU rRNA
Rfam family: Bacterial small subunit ribosomal RNA
Source: RNAcentral
AGAUUGAACGCUGGCGGCAGGCCUAACACAUGCAAGUCGAGCGGUAGCACAGGGAGCUUGCUCCUGGGUGACGAGCGGCGGACGGGUGAGUAAUGUCUGGGAAACUGCCUGAUGGAGGGGGAUAACUACUGGAAACGGUAGCUAAUACCGCAUAACGUCUUCGGACCAAAGAGGGGGACCUUCGGGCCUCUUGCCAUCAGAUGUGCCCAGAUGGGAUUAGCUAGUAGGUGAGGUAAUGGCUCACCUAGGCGACGAUCCCUAGCUGGUCUGAGAGGAUGACCAGCCACACUGGAACUGAGACACGGUCCAGACUCCUACGGGAGGCAGCAGUGGGGAAUAUUGCACAAUGGGCGCAAGCCUGAUGCAGCCAUGCCGCGUGUAUGAAGAAGGCCUUCGGGUUGUAAAGUACUUUCAGCGAGGAGGAAGGCAUUGUGGUUAAUAACCGCAGUGAUUGACGUUACUCGCAGAAGAAGCACCGGCUAACUCCGUGCCAGCAGCCGCGGUAAUACGGAGGGUGCAAGCGUUAAUCGGAAUUACUGGGCGUAAAGCGCACGCAGGCGGUCUGUCAAGUCGGAUGUGAAAUCCCCGGGCUCAACCUGGGAACUGCAUUCGAAACUGGCAGGCUAGAGUCUUGUAGAGGGGGGUAGAAUUCCAGGUGUAGCGGUGAAAUGCGUAGAGAUCUGGAGGAAUACCGGUGGCGAAGGCGGCCCCC